ACCGAUAGUGAACCAGUACCGUGAGGGAAAGGCGAAAAGAACCCCGGCGAGGGGAGUGAAAAAGAACCUGAAACCGUGUACGUACAAGCAGUGGGAGCACGCUUAGGCGUGUGACUGCGUACCUUUUGUAUAAUGGGUCAGCGACUUAUAUUCUGUAGCAAGGUUAACCGAAUAGGGGAGCCGAAGGGAAACCGAGUCUUAACUGGGCGUUAAGUUGCAGGGUAUAGACCCGAAACCCGGUGAUCUAGCCAUGGGCAGGUUGAAGGUUGGGUAACACUAACUGGAGGACCGAACCGACUAAUGUUGAAAAAUUAGCGGAUGACUUGUGGCUGGGGGUGAAAGGCCAAUCAAACCGGGAGAUAGCUGGUUCUCCCCGAAAGCUAUUUAGGUAGCGCCUCGUGAAUUCAUCUCCGGGGGUAGAGCACUGUUUCGGCAAGGGGGUCAUCCCGACUUACCAACCCGAUGCAAACUGCGAAUACCGGAGAAUGUUAUCACGGGAGACACACGGCGGGUGCUAACGUCCGUCGUGAAGAGGGAAACAACCCAGACCGCCAGCUAAGGUCCCAAAGUCAUGGUUAAGUGGGAAACGAUGUGGGAAGGCCCAGACAGCCAGGAUGUUGGCUUAGAAGCAGCCAUCAUUUAAAGAAAGCGUAAUAGCUCACUGGUCGAGUCGGCCUGCGCGGAAGAUGUAACGGGGCUAAACCAUGCACCGAAGCUGCGGCAGCGACGCUGAUGCGUUGUUGGGUAGGGGAGCGUUCUGUAAGCCUGCGAAGGUGUGCUGUGAGGCAUGCUGGAGGUAUCAGAAGUGCGAAUGCUGACAUAAGUAACGAUAAAGCGGGUGAAAAGCCCGCUCGCCGGAAGACCAAGGGUUCCUGUCCAACGUUAAUCGGGGCAGGGUGAGUCGACCCCUAAGGCGAGGCCGAAAGGCGUAGUCGAUGGGAAACAGGUUAAUAUUCCUGUACUUGGUGUUACUGCGAAGGGGGGACGGAGAAGGCUAUGUUGGCCGGGCGACGGUUGUCCCGGUUUAAGCGUGUAGGCUGGUUUUCCAGGCAAAUCCGGAAAAUCAAGGCUGAGGCGUGAUGACGAGGCACUGCGGUGCUGAAGCAACAAAUGCCCUGCUUCCAGGAAAAGCCUCUAAGCAUCAGGUAACAUCAAAUCGUACCCCAAACCGACACAGGUGGUCAGGUAGAGAAUACCAAGGCGCUUGAGAGAACUCGGGUGAAGGAACUAGGCAAAAUGGUGCCGUAACUUCGGGAGAAGGCACGCUGAUAUGUAGGUGAAGUCCUUCGCGGAUGGAGCUGAAAUCAGUCGAAGAUACCAGCUGGCUGCAACUGUUUAUUAAAAACACAGCACUGUGCAAACACGAAAGUGGACGUAUACGGUGUGACGCCUGCCCGGUGCCGGAAGGUUAAUUGAUGGGGUUAGCGCAAGCGAAGCUCUUGAUCGAAGCCCCGGUAAACGGCGGCCGUAACUAUAACGGUCCUAAGGUAGCGAAAUUCCUUGUCGGGUAAGUUCCGACCUGCACGAAUGGCGUAAUGAUGGCCAGGCUGUCUCCACCCGAGACUCAGUGAAAUUGAACUCGCUGUGAAGAUGCAGUGUACCCGCGGCAAGACGGAAAGACCCCGUGAACCUUUACUAUAGCUUGACACUGAACAUUGAGCCUUGAUGUGUAGGAUAGGUGGGAGGCUUUGAAGUGUGGACGCCAGUCUGCAUGGAGCCGACCUUGAAAUACCACCCUUUAAUGUUUGAUGUUCUAACGUUGACCCGUAAUCCGGGUUGCGGACAGUGUCUGGUGGGUAGUUUGACUGGGGCGGUCUCCUCCUAAAGAGUAACGGAGGAGCACGAAGGUUGGCUAAUCCUGGUCGGACAUCAGGAGGUUAGUGCAAUGGCAUAAGCCAGCUUGACUGCGAGCGUGACGGCGCGAGCAGGUGCGAAAGCAGGUCAUAGUGAUCCGGUGGUUCUGAAUGGAAGGGCCAUCGCUCAACGGAUAAAAGGUACUCCGGGGAUAACAGGCUGAUACCGCCCAAGAGUUCAUAUCGACGGCGGUGUUUGGCACCUCGAUGUCGGCUCAUCACAUCCUGGGGCUGAAGUAGGUCCCAAGGGUAUGGCUGUUCGCCAUUUAAAGUGGUACGCGAGCUGGGUUUAGAACGUCGUGAGACAGUUCGGUCCCUAUCUGCCGUGGGCGCUGGAGAACUGAGGGGGGCUGCUCCUAGUACGAGAGGACCGGAGUGGACGCAUCACUGGUGUUCGGGUUGUCAUGCCAAUGGCACUGCCCGGUAGCUAAAUGCGGAAGAGAUAAGUGCUGAAAGCAUCUAAGCACGAAACUUGCC
Molecule: ribosomal RNA, 2330 nt
Filed under: Escherichia coli
Lineage: Bacteria; Pseudomonadati; Pseudomonadota; Gammaproteobacteria; Enterobacterales; Enterobacteriaceae
Description: partial 23S ribosomal RNA
Rfam family: Bacterial large subunit ribosomal RNA
Source: RNAcentral